GCUACGGGCGGCAGCAGUGAGGAAUAUUGGUCAAUGGUCGGGAGACUGAACCAGCCAAGCCGCGUGAGGGAUGAAGGUACAGAGUAUCGUAAACCUCUUUUGUCAGGGAACAAAGGCGGGGACGCGUCCCCGGAUGAGUGUAACUGAAGAAAAAGCAUCGGAUAACUCCGUGCCAGCAGCCGCGGUAAUACGGAGGAUGCGGGCGUUAGCCGGAUUUAUUGGGGUUAAAGGGUGCGCAGGCGGUCUGUUAAGGCAGCGGGCAAACCCCGGGGCGCAACCCCCGCCCUCCGUUGAAAAUGGCAGUCUCGAGUUGGAGAGACGUAUGCGGAAUGCGCGGUGUAGCGGU
RNAcentral lists this ribosomal RNA (346 nucleotides) under uncultured bacterium. RNAcentral's name for it is "partial 16S ribosomal RNA". It matches the Rfam family "Bacterial small subunit ribosomal RNA", at positions 338 to 682 of the family's 1533-position model. The record is from RNAcentral.